This 910-nucleotide ribosomal RNA is filed under the name uncultured bacterium. Its description in RNAcentral is "bacterial SSU rRNA". It matches the Rfam family "Bacterial small subunit ribosomal RNA", at positions 8 to 917 of the family's 1533-position model. The record is from RNAcentral.
AGAGUUUGAUCUUGGCUAAGGACGAACGCUGGCGGCGUGCCUAACACAUGCAAGUCGAACGGGAUCCACGCCAUGAAGUUUUCGGAUGGAUUGGUGUGGUGAGAGUGGCGAACGGGCGAGUAACGCGUGAGCAACCUACCUCGUACUGGGGGAUAACGUCGGGAAACCGGCGCUAAUACCGCAUAAGACUACGAUGCCGCAUGGCAAUGUAGUCAAAGCUCCGGCGGUACGAGACGGGCUCGCGUCCGAUUAGCUAGUUGGUAGGGUAACGGCCUACCAAGGCGACGAUCGGUAGCCGGACUGAGAGGUCGGCCGGCCACAUUGGGACUGAGACACGGCCCAGACUCCUACGGGAGGCAGCAGUGGGGAAUAUUGCGCAAUGGGGGAAACCCUGACGCAGCGACGCCGCGUGAAGGAAGAAGGCCUUCGGGUUGUAAACUUCUUUGAUCGGGGACGAAGGAAGACGGUACCCGAGGAACAAGCCACGGCUAACUACGUGCCAGCAGCCGCGGUAAUACGUAGGUGGCGAGCGUUGUCCGGAAUUACUGGGCGUAAAGGGCGUGUAGGCGGGGUGACAAGUCAGAUGUGAAAUACUGCAGCUUAACUGCGGGGCUGCAUCUGAAACUGUUCUUCUUGAGUGUCGGAGAGGAAAGUGGAAUUCCCAGUGUAGCGGUGAAAUGCGUAGAGAUUGGGAGGAACACCAGUGGCGAAGGCGGCUUUCUGGACGACAACUGACUCUGAGGCGCGAAAGCGUGGGGAGCAAACAGGAUUAGAUACCCUGGUAGUCCACGCUGUAAACGAUGGAUACUAGGUGUAGGAGGUAUCGACCCCUCCUGUGCCGGAGUUAACACAAUAAGUAUCCCGCCUGGGGAGUACGGCCGCAAGGUUGAAACUAAAAAGAAUUGACGGA